AAAGAGCAUCCGCGUGGCAACCUACAAGAUGAAAUCAUCAACAUGUCAAAUUUAACACUCUAAAUCAUGAAGAUCUUCAAGAAUGGUCUCUAAUUAUAAAUUUGAUCUUCAAAUGGGUCAAAUGAUCUCUACUCACAUGUUUUGAGCAACAAUGUUAGUGAUGCAGAGGCGAAAAGAGCAACCUCUAGCAAAUUACAACACUUGAAAAGCAUAGAGAUUUCUAUUGAUAAAUAGAUAGGAGUAGAGAAAGAAGCACCUCUGGGCGGUACACUCAUUGCUUGUCUACUUCACAUACAUGCAUGCAAGUGCCACUGUACAUGCAUGCAUGCAUGCAUUUCCUUUCACAGAUUAUUUGAUGAUGCUGCUGCUAUUAGGUGAUGGUGGAACAGAGAGGAGUUGCAUUGAAUGUAUUGACAAAUAUUAAUUAGGGGCAAUUUAGACAAUUCUAGUACCAUGUUGAUCAUUGUGCCUUCUAUAUUCGUGUUCAGAGCGAGUACAUUGUAGCUUAAUACCUUUCAACUCAAAUAUUUAAGUUAACAUAUCGUGGAGAGAUGUAUCUAUUUACUUUGCUAAUUCUUUCACUAAUGGAAUCAAUCAAUCAUGUUCCACUACAGGGCUCCCACGUAUCAAAGAGGAAAUAGAAAAGACUAAAGUC
This 655-nucleotide long non-coding RNA is filed under the name Hordeum vulgare. Its description in RNAcentral is "long non-coding RNA (HVUL_LNC020104)". Lineage: Eukaryota; Viridiplantae; Streptophyta; Magnoliopsida; Poales; Poaceae. The record is from RNAcentral.